UACGUAGGCGGAAAAUUAAGUCAGUAGUGAAAUCCCGCAGCUUAACUGUGGAACUGUUAUUGAUACUGGUUUUCUUGAAUAUAGUUGAGGUAGGCGGAAUGUGUAAUGUAGCGGUGAAAUGCUUAGAUAUUACACAGAACACCGAUUGCGAAGGCAGCUUACUAAGCUAUGAUUGACGCUGAGGUAUGAAAGCGUGGGGAGCGAACAGGAUUAGAUACCCUGGUAGUCC
Molecule: ribosomal RNA, 229 nt
Filed under: uncultured bacterium
Lineage: Bacteria
Description: partial 16S ribosomal RNA
Rfam family: Bacterial small subunit ribosomal RNA
Source: RNAcentral